This 465-nucleotide ribosomal RNA is filed under the name uncultured bacterium. RNAcentral's name for it is "partial 16S ribosomal RNA". It matches the Rfam family "Bacterial small subunit ribosomal RNA", at positions 28 to 507 of the family's 1533-position model. The record is from RNAcentral.
GACGAACGCUGGCGGCGUGCUUAACACAUGCAAGUCGAACGGAAAGGCCCUGCUUGCAGGGUACUCGAGUGGCGAACGGGUGAGUAACACGUGGGUGAUCUGCCCUGCACUUCGGGAUAAGCCUGGGAAACUGGGUCUAAUACCGGAUAGGAGCCCUUUUUAGUGUGAUGGUUGGAAAGUUUUUUCGGUGUAGGGUGAGCUCGCGGCCUAUCAGCUUGUUGGUGGGGUAAUGGCCUACCAAGGCGGCGACGGGUAGCCGGCCUGAGAGGGUGGACGGCCACAGUGGGACUGAGAUACGGCCCAGACGCCUACGGGAGGCAGCAGUGGGGAAUAUUGCACCAUGGGCGCCAGCCUGAUGCAGCGACGCCGCGUGGGGGAUGACGGCCUUCGGGUUGUAAACUCCUUUCGCUAGGGACGAAGCUUUUUGUGACGGUACCUAGAUAAGAAGCACCGGCUAACUACGUG